RNAcentral lists this ribosomal RNA (497 nucleotides) under uncultured bacterium. RNAcentral describes it as "partial 16S ribosomal RNA". It matches the Rfam family "Bacterial small subunit ribosomal RNA", at positions 28 to 507 of the family's 1533-position model. The record is from RNAcentral.
GACGAACGCUGGCGGCGUGCCUAAUACAUGCAAGUUGAGCGCUGAAGGUUGGUACUUGUACCAACUGGAUGAGCAGCGAACGGGUGAGUAACGCGUGGGGAAUCUGCCUUUGAGCGGGGGACAACAUUUGGAAACGAAUGCUAAUACCGCAUAAAAACUUUAAACACAAGUUUUAAGUUUGAAAGAUGCAAUUGCAUCACUCAAAGAUGAUCCCGCGUUGUAUUAGCUAGUUGGUGAGGUAAAGGCUCACCAAGGCGAUGAUACACAGCCGACCUGAGAGGGUGAUCGGCCACAUUGGGACUGGGACACGGCCCAAACUCCUACGGGAGGCAGCAGUAGGGAAUCUUCGGCAAUGGACGAAAGUCUGACCGAGCAACGCCGCGUGAGUGAAGAAGGUUUUCGGAUCGUAAAACUCUGUUGGUAGAGAAGAACGUUGGUGAGAGUGGAAAGCUCAUCAAGUGACGGUAACUACCCAGAAAGGGACGGCUAACUACGUG